RNAcentral lists this long non-coding RNA (492 nucleotides) under Manacus vitellinus (golden-collared manakin). RNAcentral's name for it is "lncRNA (ENSMVIG00005011857.1)". The record is from RNAcentral. Lineage: Eukaryota; Metazoa; Chordata; Aves; Passeriformes; Pipridae.
UAAACCAUUCUCCCUUAUCCUAUCACUAUCUGAUCCCCUUGGUGUGAUUAUCAUGUCCCAUUGCUGCAAUUCUGACUCUUUAGGGGGAACCCCCAUCUCUAGAGACUUUGAGAAGGCUCAUCCAAGAGGAGUUAUCCAAGCAGCUAGAUGCAAAGUUAACCUAUCUCCUGGCUCAGAUACAGCCUGCACAGGUAAAAGCAUCCCAUGGCAGACCAGGACCUCCUGGUCCCCCUGGGAAGGAAGGACUCCCAGGAAGAACUGGCCCUCCCGGAGAGCCUGGCCGGCCUGGACAGACUGGGUCUGAAGGGCCACCUGGACCAAUUGGUCCCAAAGGAGAAAGAGGAGCAAAGGGGGAUAAAGGAGACACUGGCAUUGGCCAACGAGGGGAAAUAGGUCCUCCAGGAAUUCCAGGUGUGUUAUUCAGAGCACCCCUCAACACACAUCACUCAGAACCAUUUCAAGGACGUGGGUCUCUGCCAUAUUAGAUAGACA